RNAcentral lists this long non-coding RNA (1096 nucleotides) under Bos grunniens (domestic yak). Its description in RNAcentral is "lncRNA (ENSBGRG00000013908.1)". Lineage: Eukaryota; Metazoa; Chordata; Mammalia; Artiodactyla; Bovidae. The record is from RNAcentral.
CCCGGCCCUCCCGUCACAGGCAUGGUGACCCCGGUCCAGCUUUCCAACCCCAAUCUCAGCUACCACUCAGACGACACCCGCCGGCUGAGCGCAGACCUGCGCCUUAGGUCUCAAGACCGCUGAGAAAGAAACCACCUUCCCUUUUGCAGGUGAGAACACUGGGACCAGGAGAUCAAAUGACGAACGAAAGUCACACUGAAUGGGGUCAAAUACACCUGGGACGGACCAGGCUGGCCGCCUCCGAGGCCCGAAGCUGGGCGGUCUCACGAGGUCCCCGCAGCCCGCCUGUCCCCGAGGGCUCCGAGGGGGUCGCGCUGAGACGCCCUUGGGUGAGAGGUCCCAGGUUCCCCACCGCAGAGACCCAGAGACUCCGAGUCAAGACCCAACGUCAAGGCCGACCCAGAGCAGGCGGUGCAGGCGACAGGUGACUACUAUACCUGCACAGCAAUUUCUUACCACAAAGAAGCAAGGAUUGGUGGUUCAGAUGGUGCUUGUGUCCCAUCACCAUUAGCUGCAGAAGCGAGCACUCUGGAGAGUUUGAAUAAUAAAUAUAUCGCUCUUUGUUCCCAUCUCACACCCUGAAAGUUUUCUUUGAAGUUUAGAGUGCCUUUCAUGUUGUGGAAAAUUUGCUGUAAUAUUCUGAAGGUCUAAAUCUUUCUAGCAGAGCUAUCAAAGGGCACAUCAUAGUCAGUGGUUCUGUUGACUGACUUCUGUGUUCAAUUAUGAGUUCCAUGUGGGUGGACACCAUGUCUCUAUUCUCUAUCACUCCUGACCAGCAUCCCAAGAGGAAAGCAGAUUCUUACCAAUGUUUGUUGAAUGAUUAGAUGACUAAAUAAAUUUUAUACUGUUAUUAUGAUCUGGCUACUCAGUGCUUUUUCUCUGAGAAUUUAAAAUUAUUUUGCUAACUGGUUGCUAGUUUCCUAUACAACAGACACAGCUACCUUGGAUCUUAGUAUCAAAACAUACGAGGAAUGUCUACUGUGUAUCUAAUUAGUUGAGAACAGAGCAUCUUUCCUUAAAGACCAUCUGCAUUUUUUAAGAGCAGAGAGAGCUUGUGUGGCUGAAGGCUCCAGAUUCUAAUUCAAUUACAUUGCAG